CCUCCGUGAGGCAGCAGUGGGGGAUAUUGCACAAUGGGGGGAACCCUGAUGCAGCGACGCCGCGUGGGUGUAGGAGCUUUUCGGCGCGUAAAGCCCUAUCGGCAGGUAAGCCGAUGACGGUACCUGGCCAAUCCGCCCCGGCUCACUACGUGCCAGCCGCCACGGUAAUACGGUGGGGGCAAGCGUUAUCCGGAUUUACUGGGUGGAAGGGGGGCGCAGACGGCAAUGCAAGCCAGGAGUGAAAGCCCGGGGCCCAACCCCGGGACUGCGCUUGGAACUGCAUGGCUGGAGUACAGGAGGGGCAGGCGGAAUUCCUAGGGUAGCGGUGAAAUGCGUAGAUAUUAGGAGGAACACCGGUGGCGAAGGCGGCCUGCUGGACUGUGACUGACGUUGAGGCCCGAAGGCGUGGGGAGCAAACAGGAGUAGAUACCCUUGUAGUC
RNAcentral lists this ribosomal RNA (440 nucleotides) under uncultured bacterium. RNAcentral describes it as "partial 16S ribosomal RNA". It matches the Rfam family "Bacterial small subunit ribosomal RNA", at positions 338 to 795 of the family's 1533-position model. The record is from RNAcentral.